UACGGAGGGUGCGAGCGUUGUCCGGAAUCUCUGGGCGUAAAGGGCGCGUAGGUGGCCCGUUAAGUGGCUGGUGAAAUCCCGCGGCUCAACUGCGGGGCUGCCGGUCAUACUGGCGAGCUAGAGCACGGUAGGGGCAGAUGGAAUUCCCGGUGUAGCGGUGGAAUGCGUAGAGAUCGGGAAGAAUACCAGUGGCGAAGGCGUUCUGCUGGGCCGUUGCUGACACUGAGGCGCGACAGCGUGGGGAGCAAACAGG
This 253-nucleotide ribosomal RNA is filed under the name uncultured bacterium. Its description in RNAcentral is "partial 16S ribosomal RNA". It matches the Rfam family "Bacterial small subunit ribosomal RNA", at positions 524 to 776 of the family's 1533-position model. The record is from RNAcentral.